Molecule: microRNA precursor, 81 nt
Organism: Bos taurus (domestic cattle)
Lineage: Eukaryota; Metazoa; Chordata; Mammalia; Artiodactyla; Bovidae
Source: Ensembl
GUUGGGUUAGCCAAAAAGUUAGUUCAGAUUUUUCCAUAGCAUCUCAUGGAAAAACCGGAAUGAACUUUUUGGCCAACCCAA